GUACACUUAAAAAGUGAAUGUUACUGUAUGUAUAUUAUAUGUUAAUUUUUUUAAAUGGAAUCUCCGUUUGUUAUCCAGGCUGGAGUGCAGUGGUGUGAUCUUGGCUCGCUGCAACCUCUGCCUCCCGGGUUCAAGUGAUUCUCAUGCCUCAGCCUCCCGAGUAGCUGGGAUUAUAGGCACCUGCCACCAUUCCCGGCAGGUGCCAGUGAAGCCAUUGUUCCAGCUCACUCAGUGGGACUUGGGACAGGAAACAGGAGAUCUGGGGAGCUGGUGGGACGCUUACUAGCUACCUGACCUUGGAUGAAUGAUUCGUUCCUCCAGAGCUUCUGUUUCUUCACCUAUGAAAAGGGAGAAGAUGCCACCUCAUUCUAAGGAGCUGCAUGGGGACUAAAGGAAAAAUCUUGACACUCAAACGCAAUUUUCUGUUGUUACAGGGCCAAGGAGCUCUGGGCCUGAGAGGGGAAGAGUCUGGUCAGCAUUGCCCAGUAUUAUAGCUGGAUGUUUGCCCACCGGAACCUCAUGUUGAAAUUUGAUCCUCAAUGUUGGAGAUGCUGUAGGAGAUGCUAUGGGUGCCUGCUGGGCCCCUGUGCCUACCCCCAGCUGCCCAGGGCUGAAGAGAAGAGCUGGACUUCUUUCCUGGGACUUACUCCUGAUCUACAAAGUUACUUCACCUAGAAAUACCUGGGAAGUUACGCCCUUCCCAGGGCUGGCGGAGAAAACACAUUAUGUUAUGCACAAUUUGGGACAUAUACUAAAAAAUAAUUUGUUGUUUAUCUGAAA
This 780-nucleotide long non-coding RNA is filed under the name Homo sapiens (human). Its description in RNAcentral is "HSALNT0340582". Lineage: Eukaryota; Metazoa; Chordata; Mammalia; Primates; Hominidae. The record is from RNAcentral.